GAUGAACGCUGGCGGCGUGCCUAAUACAUGCAAGUCGAGCGAACGGACGAGAAGCUUGCUUCUCUGAUGUUAGCGGCGGACGGGUGAGUAACACGUGGAUAACCUACCUAUAAGACUGGGAUAACUUCGGGAAACCGGAGCUAAUACCGGAUAAUAUUUUGAACCGCAUGGUUCAAAAGUGAAAGACGGUCUUGCUGUCACUUAUAGAUGGAUCCGCGCUGCAUUAGCUAGUUGGUAAGGUAACGGCUUACCAAGGCAACGAUGCAUAGCCGACCUGAGAGGGUGGUCGGCCACACUGGAACUGAGACACGGUCCAGACUCCUACGGGAGGCAGCAGUAGGGAAUCUUCCGCAAUGGAGGAAAGCCUGACAGAGCAACGCCGCGUGAGUGAUGAAGGUCUUCGGAUCGUAAAACUCUGUUAUUAGGGAAGAACAUAUGUGUAAGUAACUGUGCACAUCUUGACGGUACCUAAUCAGAAAGCCACGGCUAACUACGUG
RNAcentral lists this ribosomal RNA (497 nucleotides) under uncultured bacterium. RNAcentral's name for it is "partial 16S ribosomal RNA". It matches the Rfam family "Bacterial small subunit ribosomal RNA", at positions 28 to 507 of the family's 1533-position model. The record is from RNAcentral.